This 253-nucleotide ribosomal RNA is filed under the name uncultured bacterium. RNAcentral's name for it is "partial 16S ribosomal RNA". It matches the Rfam family "Bacterial small subunit ribosomal RNA", at positions 524 to 776 of the family's 1533-position model. The record is from RNAcentral.
UACGUAGGGUGCGAGCGUUGUCCGGAAUUAUUGGGCGUAAAGGGCUCGUAGGCGGUUUGUCGCGUCGGGAGUGAAAUCCACUGGCUUAACUGGUGGCUUGCUUUCGAUACGGGCAGACUGGAGGUAUGCAGGGGAGAACGGAAUUCCUGGUGUAGCGGUGAAAUGCGCAGAUAUCAGGAGGAACACCGGUGGCGAAGGCGGAUCUCUGGGCCUUACCUGACGCUCAGGCGCGAAAGCUAGGGGAGCGAACAGG